Long non-coding RNA from Pristis pectinata (smalltooth sawfish), 3942 nucleotides. RefSeq lists it as uncharacterized. The transcript has 2 exons. NCBI's taxonomy places the organism in Eukaryota, Metazoa, Chordata, Chondrichthyes, Rhinopristiformes, Pristidae. The record is from RefSeq and is a predicted model, not a curated record.
ACCAUGAUGCCAAUUUAAACUAAUCCUGGUCUGUAUCCCUCCCUGCGCUGCCUGCUCCUGUGUCCGGCCUCCACCACCCCCCAACCCCCGGCGGCCCGUUCCAGGCACCCACCGCUCUCCGUGUAAAACACUUGCCCCUCACCCCUCCUCUCACGCUCCCCUCACCGUCAACCUCCGCCCUCCAGCACUUGACAUUUCCACCUAGCAAAACGGUGCCUCUCAUCAUUUUACACACUUCUAUCAGGUCUCCCCUCAGCCUCCGCCGCUCCAGGGAAAACCCAACUCUGUCCAACCUCUGACCCAGGCAGCGUCCUGCUGAACCUCACCUGCACCCUCUCCACAGCCCCCGCACCCUCCCUGUGACGGGACGACCACAACUGCACACAAUUCUCCAAAGCGACAAACUAACCGAGGCAGCCAGGGAGGUGGAGACCCCAGAGCCGGAGAGGUGGAGACCCCAUAACCAGGGAGGUGGAGACCCCAGAGACAGCAAGCUGGAGACCCCAUAACCAGGGAGCUGGAGACCUGGAGACUGCAGGCGCUGGGAUCUGGAGCAAAAAAACAAACUGCUGAGGGGACUCAGUGGGUCGGGCAGUGUCUGUGGGGGAAAUGGACUGUCGAGGUUUUGGAAUGAACCCCUUCAUCUGGACUGGAAUCAUUAGAUUUCCAUGUACUAGAGACUGGAAUUAGAGAACAGCCCUUUAUGUGCUUUCUGGGGCUGUGGUGGGGCAGAGUUGGCAGCUCUCCCCUCUCACUGACCUUGAGCCGAAGCCCACGGAUUGUGUUACUCGGGGCCAGAUGGCUGAGGAUGGACGUUUCCUCUCCUGAGGCCAUUCCUGGACCAGGUGGGUUGUUGACACAACCCAGGAAUCCCCUGGACCCCAACCCAGACUGACUGUUCUAAAUUCCCGGAUUAGUGAAAUAACUGAACUCAAAUCCCACAGCUGCCAUUUGGGAUUGGACCAUGCACCUCUGGAUUGGUCAACCAGGGCUCGGGAUUAACCACUCCAGUAGCAGGACCAGGUCACGGUGGUCACCACUCAGUAACAGUACCAGGUCACCAUGGUUACCAAAAACAAUCUGUGGGGGAACAGUAUCUGCAGAGGCAAAGGAAUGGCCGACAAUCCCCCGCACCCCCCCCCCCAGAAGGUUCUCAACCCACUGAGCUCCUCCAGCAGGUUGUUUGUUGCUCCAGAUUCCCGUGUCUGCAGUCCCUUGUGUCUACCAUGGUUAACAGUCCAGUAACAGCCCCAUACUUACCAUGGUUACCAGUCCAUUAACAGCCCCAUUGUUACCAUGGUUACCAGUCCAGUAACAGCCCCACAGUUACCAUGGUCAACGGGACUCCAGUUAUUUAUUUUCAGUUUUUCUGACAUCUUUCCACUGAAACACACUGGAAGGGUUGAAGGUCAUUGAAUGGAUUCCUAAAGCUUCCACCCGACACUUACUGGGGACCCUUCACCACCAGGGCAGGGAGAUGACCUGAGACCCUUCAGCACCAGGGCAGGGAGAUGUCCUGGGACCCUUCAGCACCAGGGCAGGGAGAUGUCCUGGGACCCUUCAGCACCAGGGCAGGGAGAUGUCCUGGGACCCUUCAGCACCAGGGCAGGGAGAUGUCUUGGGACCCUUCACCACCAGGAUAGGGAGAUGUCCUGGGACCCUUCAGCACCAGGGCAGGGAGAUGUCCUGGGACCCUUCAGCACCAGGGCAGGGAGAUGUCCUGGGACCCUUCAGCACCAGGGCAGGGAGAUGUCUUGGGACCCUUCACCACCAGGGCAGGGAGAUGUCCUGGGACCUUUCGCCACCAGGGCAGGGAGAUGACCUGGGACCCUUCACCACCAGCACAGGGAGUUGACUGGGACCCUUCAGCACCAGGACAGACAGAUGUCCUGGGACCCUUCACCACCAGGGCAGGGAGGUGACCUAGGACCCUUCACCACCAGGACAGGGAGAUGUCCUGGAACCCUUCACCACCAGGGCAGAGAGAUGUCCUGGGACCCUUCAGCACCAGGACAGAGAGAUGUCCUGGGACCCUUCGCCACCAGGGCAGGAAGGUGACCUGGGACCCUUCACCACCUGGACAGGGAGAUGUCCUGAGGCCCUUCAGUACCAGGGCGGGGAGUGUCCUGGGACCCUUCACCACCAGGACAGGGAGAUGUCCUGGGACCCUUCACUACCAGGACAGGGAGAUGUCCUGGGACCCUUCACCACCAGAGCAGGGAGAUGUCCUGAGACCCUUUGCCACCAGGGCAGGGAGAUGACCUGGGAACAUUCAGCACCAGGGCAGGGAGAUGACUGGGGCUCAGUGCUGACCAGGGCCCAGGGGGAUGCUGUGACAGACUUCCCCAGGGUGAGAUGCUGGAAGGCAGGUCUGGGUGAGUUAGGAUGAGUACAUGGACAGGAUUUAAAGUGUCUCUGGUCUUACAAUAGCGAAUGAGACUCCCAGGGGCAGUGUCCCAUCACAGAUCCUCCCCACCCAUUGAAUCCCCUCCCACAAUCUGUGUGCACCCCCAACACUUGCACCCUGAGGGAAAAUUGGGCGAGACUCAUUGAGGAAUUGGGCGUGGACGGACAGGGCUGGUCAGUUGGGUGACCGUCCAGUGGAGACAGUCCACAGCGCACACAUCGCCCUUUAAAGCCUCCCGUUAAGGUUAUUGCCAGUGCAAGACAUAAAAAUUACUAUACAUUACCAAAUAAAUAAAUAGUGCAAAAGGGGAAUAAUGAGGUAGUGUUCAUGGGUUCUGGACCGUUCAGAAAUCUGCUGGCGGAGGGGAAGAAGCUGAUCCUAAAAUGUUGAUUGUGGGUCUUCAGGCUCCUGUACAUCCUCCCCAAUGGUAGUAACAUGAAGAGGGCAUAAUACAUAAUAUGUUAUACAUCAAUUAACAAGACAGUGAAGAGCUGAGCUGAACUCUGGAAUAUUCACCCACCCUCCCACCUCAGCAUGUCCUCCCUGACACAGUGUGGAGGGAUAUCUCGAAGCCCCCAAUACCGGGCCACGAGCAGCCUAUCUCAGCCUCACACUCACGGUCCAUGCCCAACACCAGCAGGCCUUCCCCCAAGCGAACGUCACAGAGUUCAGCAUUCCCACCAAUCGUAACCGUACCUUUUCAGAACUUACUUUGGGCGCACGGUGUGGCACCUGUGUCUGUGACUGCCCAUCCCUGGCCAGUGUCCAUCCCUGGCUAGUGUCCAUCCUUGCCCAGCAUCCAUGCCUGCCCCGCGUCCAUCCCUGGCCAGUGUCCAUCCCUGCUCAUUGUCCAUCCCUGCCCGAGUGUCCAUCCCUGCCCAGCAUCCACCCCUGCCCAGUGUCCAUCCCUGGCCAAUGUCCAACCCUGCCCAGUGUCCAUCCCUGCCCAGUGUCCAUCUCUGGCCAAUGUCCAUCCCUGCCCAGUGUCCAUCCCUAGCCAUCACCCCAAGUGUGCACAGAGGCUCAGCUAUAGAGCCUGGUGCUUGGAGAGCCUAGCGGGCUAGACAAAGGCAGGGGAAAUGCUCACCCUUCUCUCGAGCUGUAAAUAUUACAAGACAGCAUUUUUAUCAGAAUAUUCUGAGCACAAAACCUGGGGCUGGGAGGGUGGGAAGGUAAACAGGUGACAAGGAAAACCGCUGGUAUGUGGGAGGCAGUGAUGCUGUCGCCUUUGUGUAAGAGAAGUAUAAAUAUAUAUAUAUAUGGAAUUUUCCUUCACUGAACUUCCAUGAUGUUUUUAUAUUAAACAAGAAAAGCUGAGGUUUUCUGGUGUUUUCUCUAACUCUGACCCCUGACCCAGCAUCUCCACCGUCAGAAACAUCGCCACAGAAAGACAAGUUUUGUACAAUGUGUGGGAUCCAGAGUGAAGUGUUGCAUUGAAGACUUUUCUCAAAGCCUCUUUAAGUUUUUUUUUGUGCAAUAAACAGGAGAAUAAUUACAGUUCAUUAAUAAAGGUGCAAUGCGGGUUUUAUAUUCAA